Long non-coding RNA from Carassius auratus (goldfish), 291 nucleotides. RefSeq lists it as uncharacterized. NCBI's taxonomy places the organism in Eukaryota, Metazoa, Chordata, Actinopteri, Cypriniformes, Cyprinidae. The transcript is spliced from 3 exons. The record is from RefSeq and is a predicted model, not a curated record.
GUUACAGAGGAGGACUGCACAGAGAUUGUAGAGGCUUGCAUUCAGAGUGGUGUCAUGCUCACAGUGUGCCAUGUUCUCCGAUACGACCCUGUCAUCCACAGAAUUAAAGGGCUGAUUGACAGCGGUGUGAUUGGCGAUGUCAUCCACAUUCAACAUCUGGAACCAGUGGGGUUCUAUCAUUUUGCUCACUCCUUUGUCAGAGGGAACUGGAGAAACGAGGCGGAAAGCUCUUUUGCUCUGCUUGCCAAAUCCUGCCAUGAUUUGGAUCUGAUUCAUCACUGGGCUGGCGGA